Molecule: ribosomal RNA, 465 nt
Filed under: uncultured bacterium
Lineage: Bacteria
Description: partial 16S ribosomal RNA
Rfam family: Bacterial small subunit ribosomal RNA
Source: RNAcentral
GACGAACGCUGGCGGCGUGCUUAACACAUGCAAGUCGAACGGAAAGGCCCUGCUUGCAGGGUACUCGAGUGGCGAACGGGUGAGUAACACGUGGGUGAUCUGCCCUGCACUUCGGGAUAAGCCUGGGAAACUGGGUCUAAUACCGGAUAGGAGCCAUUUUUAGUGUGAUGGUUGGAAAGUUUUUUCGGUGUAGGAUGAGCUCGCGGCCUAUCAGCUUGUUAGUGGGGUAAUGGCCUACCAAGGCGGCGACGGGUAGCCGGCCUGAGAGGGUGGACGGCCACAUUGGGACUGAGGUACGGCCCAGACUCCUACGGGAGGCAGCAGUGGGGAAUAUUGCACAAUGGGCGCAAGCCUGAUGCAGCGACGCCGCGUGGGGGAUGACGGCCUUCGGGUUGUAAACUCCUUUCGCUAGGGACGAAGCUUUUUGUGACGGUACCUAGAUAAGAAGCACCGGCUAACUACGUG